This 238-nucleotide small RNA is filed under the name Oryza sativa Japonica Group (Japanese rice). RNAcentral's name for it is "misc RNA OsDRP2A". The record is from RNAcentral. Lineage: Eukaryota; Viridiplantae; Streptophyta; Magnoliopsida; Poales; Poaceae.
GAGAGAAGCGUCUUGUUAGUGGAGAGAUUGCAUGAACAAUUUGUAAGCAGGGUACCCUGAGUUGUUUAUAGAAAUAUAAAUAGGUAAUCCAUCCAUUAUCUCUAUUGUUUCGUCAUCUUUUUUUGACUCAUUCAUGUCUGAUUAAUCCCCCUGCUUAUAGGAUUUUGUGGGACGAUCAGUCUAGCUUUGUACUAUAUCAUACUGUAUACUUAUAUAUCAUUGUACGCGUACACUUCGA